GGCACAGUGGCUUAGUGGUUAGUACUGUUCCCUCGCACCAGAGUUAGGGGUUCAAACCCCAUCUCUGCCC
Molecule: non-coding RNA, 70 nt
Organism: Pangasius djambal
Lineage: Eukaryota; Metazoa; Chordata; Actinopteri; Siluriformes; Pangasiidae
Source: the annotation of a GenBank genome assembly